GACGAACGCUGGCGGCGUGCUUAACACAUGCAAGUCGAACGGUGAAGCGCCUUCCUUUUUGGUGGGUGUGGAUGAGUGGCGAACGGGUGAGUAACACGUGAGUAACCUGCCCCCUUCUUCUGGAUAACCGCAUGAAAGUGUGGCUAAUACGGGAUAUUCUGGGUCUGUCGCAUGAUGGGUCUGGGAAAGAUAUUGUUUCGGUGGGGGAUGGGCUCGCGGCCUAUCAGCUUGUUGGUGGGGUGAUGGCCUACCAAGGCGGUGACGGGUAGCCGGCCUGAGAGGGUGGACGGUCACACUGGGACUGAGACACGGCCCAGACUCCUACGGGAGGCAGCAGUGGGGAAUAUUGCACAAUGGGCGAAAGCCUGAUGCAGCGACGACGCGUGAGGGAUGGAGGCCUUCGGGUUGUGAACCUCUUUCGCCAGUGAAGCAGGCCUGCCUCGUUUGUGGGUGGGUUGACGGUAGCUGGAUAAGAAGCGCCGGCUAACUACGU
This 493-nucleotide ribosomal RNA is filed under the name uncultured bacterium. RNAcentral's name for it is "partial 16S ribosomal RNA". It matches the Rfam family "Bacterial small subunit ribosomal RNA", at positions 28 to 506 of the family's 1533-position model. The record is from RNAcentral.